Non-coding RNA from Otolemur garnettii (small-eared galago), 296 nucleotides. The record is from Rfam. NCBI's taxonomy places the organism in Eukaryota, Metazoa, Chordata, Mammalia, Primates, Galagidae.
GCCAGGCAUUGUGGCCAGCGCCUGUAGUCCCAGUUACUUGGGAGGCUGAGGCAAGAGAGUUGCUUAAGCCCAAGAGUUGGAGGUUGAUGUGAGCUGUGAUGCCACAGCAUUCUACCCAGGGUGACAGCUUGAGACUCUGUCUCUAAAUAAAUAAAUAAUAAAAUAAAAUAGAUUGAUUCAUCACAUUUUUUUUUUUUUGAGACAGCGCCUCAAGCUGUCCCCCUGGGUAGAGUGCUGUGGUAUCACAGCUCACAGCAACCUCCAACUCCUGGGCUCAAGCGAGUCUCCUGCCUCAG